This 295-nucleotide ribosomal RNA is filed under the name Streptococcus pneumoniae. Its description in RNAcentral is "partial 23S ribosomal RNA". It matches the Rfam family "Bacterial large subunit ribosomal RNA", at positions 408 to 705 of the family's 2925-position model. The record is from RNAcentral. Lineage: Bacteria; Bacillati; Bacillota; Bacilli; Lactobacillales; Streptococcaceae.
UCGAGUAGGACGGAGCACGAGAAACUUUGUCUGAAUAUGGGGGGACCAUCCUCCAAGGCUAAAUACUACUGACUGACCGAUAGUGAACCAGUACCGUGAGGGAAAGGCGAAAAGAACCCCGGAGAGGGGAGUGAAAUAGAACCUGAAACCGUAUGCGUACAAGCAGUGGGAGCCUACUUUGUUAGGUGACUGCGUACCUUUUGUAUAAUGGGUCAGCGACUUAUAUUCAGUGGCGAGCUUAACCGAAUAGGGGAGGCGUAGCGAAAGCGAGUCUUAAUAGGGCGUUUAGUCGCUG